RNAcentral lists this ribosomal RNA (478 nucleotides) under uncultured bacterium. Its description in RNAcentral is "partial 16S ribosomal RNA". It matches the Rfam family "Bacterial small subunit ribosomal RNA", at positions 29 to 523 of the family's 1533-position model. The record is from RNAcentral.
AACAAACGCUGGCGGCGUGCCUAAUACAUGCAAGUCGAACGGGGAAAGUAGCAAUAUGAGUACUAGUGGCGCACGGGUGAGGAAUACAUGGGUAAUCUGCCUUCAAGUUUGGGAUAACCAGUCGAAAGAUUGGCUAAUACCGGAUAAGACCACGGGAUCUGCGGAUCCAGAGGUCAAAGGUUUUUCGCUUGAAGAUGAGCCCAUGUGGGAUUAGCUAGUUGGUGAGGUAAUGGCUCACCAAGGCGACGAUCCCUAACUGGUCUUAGAGGAUGAUCAGUCACACUGGAACUGAGACACGGUCCAGACUCCUACGGGAGGCAGCAGUAGGGAAUAUUGCGCAAUGGGGGAAACCCUGACGCAGCGACGCCGCGUGAGUGAUGAAGGCCUUCGGGUCGUAAAGCUCUGUCGUAUGGGACUAACAAAAUGAAGGUACCACGCAAGAAAGGAUCGGCUAACUUCGUGCCAGCAGCCGCCGUAA